RNAcentral lists this long non-coding RNA (695 nucleotides) under Neodiprion lecontei (redheaded pine sawfly). Its description in RNAcentral is "uncharacterized LOC124292783". Lineage: Eukaryota; Metazoa; Arthropoda; Insecta; Hymenoptera; Diprionidae. The record is from RNAcentral.
AAAAUUACCUACGCGGAUAGAAAAAAAAUCCUACGGCGUUCUACACAUGUGAUUGGAAUCCCCCCGCCUAUUUAUGGCUCUGACAGCCAGACAUUCUAGUUGAAUCUACCGUUGCUACCGGAUUCACAGACGGCUGCUUUGAUUUCGUUCGUGAUUCUUCAACCUGGUCGGAUUCUUCACAACGACCUUUCAAUUCAGCUAUCAGCGAUGCGCUAAUAGCUCCUCCUGCAGUUGAUGCUGGUUUUUGUAGAGAUUCCUUUCUGGGAUUUGGAGGUGGUGCAAGUUUCUUCUCUUUCGAUUUCACCUUGGGAGUCAACUCCUGAGGCUUAUCUUUAUUUGCGGGCGUGGAUUGCUUGUCUUCAUCCCCAGAAUCUGAAUCCGAUGGAAUGCAAGCUUCCAACGGGGUUUCCAUCGAUGAUUGACGACCACGGCUGAAACGCACAGAGUAAAACACUGACCACACCUCGACUAGUUACAGAGCACCAUUCGAUAACAAGCAUCCUUAUUUCAUAAGCUUCAACUGACCGCGCGGUUUUAAAAGGAAAUUCCACAUCCGUGCUAGUCGUUGUAGCUGAUACUGAUCAGCUGUAAGUAUGUAACACUACGGUUUCUGUUUUAUACUACGUGCAUUUUUUAUCGACAGAUAUAAUUUUUUUAAAAUUAUAUGCUGACGCACCUUAGAUUAAUUCUGAAAU